RNAcentral lists this ribosomal RNA (1217 nucleotides) under uncultured Rhizaria. Its description in RNAcentral is "SSU rRNA". It matches the Rfam family "Eukaryotic small subunit ribosomal RNA", at positions 577 to 1805 of the family's 1831-position model. The record is from RNAcentral.
CGGUAAUUCCAGCUCCAAUAGCGUAUACUAAAGUUGUUGCAGUUAAAAAGCUCGUAGUUGGAUUUCUGCGGGGACGGAGCGGCCGGACGCAACUUGCGUCUCGAGCUAGCGCUUUCCCCGCAUCCUGCCGCGAACCGUGCUACCAUUAGCUUGGUGGCGCUGGGGAUCGGCUCGAUUACUUUGAGAAAAAUAGAGUGUUCAAAGCAGGCCACACGCCUUGAAUAAGUUAGCAUGGAAUAAUGACUAAGGACUUUGGUUCUUUUCGUUGGUGUUCGGGACUGAAGUAAUGAUUGAUAGGGACAGUUGGGGCGGUCUGUAUUCCAAAGCGAGAGGUGAAAUUCUUAGACCUUCGGAAGACAAACAGCUGCGAAAGCGUUCCGCAAGGAUGUUCCCUUUGAUCAAGAACGAAAGUUGGGGGAUCGAAGACGAUCAGAUACCGUCGUAGUCUCAACUAUAAACUAUACCAGCUAGGGAUCGGCCAACGUUUAAUUAUUCGACUUGGUCGGCACCUUAUGAGAAAUCAAAGCAUCUGGGUUCCGGGGGGAGUAUGGUCGCAAGGCUGAAACUUAAAGGAAUUGACGGAAGGGCACCACCAGGCGUGGAGCCUGUGGCUUAAUUUGACUCAACACGGGAAAACUUACCAGGUCCAGACAUAGGAAGGAUUGACAGAUUGAUAGCUCUUUCUUGAUUCUGUGGGUGGUGGUGCAUGGCCGUUUUUAGUCGGUGAAGUGAUUUGUCUGCUUAAUUGCGUUAACGGACGAGACCCCAGCCUGCUAAAUAGCGCGGCCGAGCCUUGCUCGGUGCGAGCUUCUUAGAGGGACCAUGAUGCGCGAUAGCACAAGGAAGUUUGGGGCAACAACAGGUCUGUGGUGCCCUUAGAUGUUCUGGGCCGCACACGGGCUACACUGGCGCCUGCAACGAGCAUAUCAGCUGGCCCGAGAGGGUCUUGGCUAAUCUUUGGAACCGGCGCCGUGCUUGGGAUUGACCAUUGCAAUUGUUGGUCAUGCAACGAGGAAUGCCUUGUAAACGCGAGUCAUCAGCUCGCAUUGAAUACGUCCCUGCCCUUUGUACACAUCGCCCGUCGCUCCUACCGAUGAAUGUUCCGAUGAAAUUUUCGGAGAGCGCCGGAGAACGGGGCUCUGCCCUGCAGAACUGGAGGCUCAAAGUCACUUAAAUCUGAACAUUUCGAGGAAGGAGAAGUCGUAACAAGGUAGCCG